RNAcentral lists this ribosomal RNA (429 nucleotides) under bacterium. Its description in RNAcentral is "partial 16S ribosomal RNA". It matches the Rfam family "Bacterial small subunit ribosomal RNA", at positions 355 to 776 of the family's 1533-position model. The record is from RNAcentral.
UAGGGAAUCUUCCACAAUGGACGCAAGUCUGAUGGAGCAACGCCGCGUGAGUGAAGAAGGUUUUAGGAUCGUAAAGCUCUGUUGUUGGUGAAGAAGGAUAGAGGCAGUAACUGGUCUUUAUUUGACGGUAAUCAACCAGAAAGUCACGGCUAACUACGUGCCAGCAGCCGCGGUAAUACGUAGGUGGCAAGCGUUGUCCGGAUUUAUUGGGCGUAAAGCGAGCGCAGGCGGAAUGAUAAGUCUGAUGUGAAAGCCCACGGCUCAACCGUGGAACUGCAUCGGAAACUGUCAUUCUUGAGUGCAGAAGAGGAGAGUGGAAUUCCAUGUGUAGCGGUGGAAUGCGUAGAUAUAUGGAAGAACACCAGUGGCGAAGGCGGCUCUCUGGUCUGCAACUGACGCUGAGGCUCGAAAGCAUGGGUAGCGAACAGG